RNAcentral lists this ribosomal RNA (255 nucleotides) under uncultured bacterium. Its description in RNAcentral is "partial 16S ribosomal RNA". The record is from RNAcentral.
CUGCUGCCUUCCGUAGGAGUUGUCCGUGUCUCAGUACCAAUGUGGGGGUUAACCGUCUCAGUCCCCCUACUGUAUCGUCGCCUUGGUGAGCCGUUACCUCACCAACCAGCUAAUACAACGCAUGCCCAUCAUCAACCACCGGAGUUUUCAACCCCAUGCGAUGCCGCAUGAGAUAUUAUGGGGUAUUAGUACCAAUUUCUCAGUGUUAUCCCCCUGUUGAUGGUAGGUUGCAUACGCGUUACGCACCCGUGCCGG